AACGUAGGAGGCGAGCGUUAUCCGGAGUUACUGGGCGUAAAGAGCGUGUAGGCGGGUAUGCAAGUUUGGCGUGAAAGCUCCCGGCUAAACUGGGAGACUGCGUUGAAGACUGCGUAUCUAGAGGCAAGUAGAGGGACGUGGAAUUCCGGGUGUAGUGGUGAAAUGCGUAGAGAUCCGGAGGAACACCAGUGGCGAAGGCGACGUCCUGGGCUUGACCUGACGCUGAGACGCGACAGCACGGGGAGCGAACGGG
Molecule: ribosomal RNA, 253 nt
Filed under: uncultured bacterium
Lineage: Bacteria
Description: partial 16S ribosomal RNA
Rfam family: Bacterial small subunit ribosomal RNA
Source: RNAcentral